AAAAUAUUGUGUUAAAAAAUAGCAUCAUGUGGGGAUCAAACCUGGGACCUCAAAUCCCUACACAUGUGCGCUUACCGCCAGACCACAGACCUAUGUUAUGCAUAAGUGUGUUCAAUUUAUUAAAUAUACAUAGAUUAGACAGUAUUUUACUUUCGUACAAGGGUGUUCACCUGACCAACAUAAAUUAAGUUAAAACUAGCUCAUUGCUGAUAUUAAAAUAAAAACUUUUAGAACUUCAAAGCUUAUGAACUAUGAUAU
RNAcentral lists this unclassified non-coding RNA (258 nucleotides) under Hevea brasiliensis (rubber tree). The record is from RNAcentral. Lineage: Eukaryota; Viridiplantae; Streptophyta; Magnoliopsida; Malpighiales; Euphorbiaceae.